RNAcentral lists this ribosomal RNA (609 nucleotides) under Leucogaster microsporus. Its description in RNAcentral is "eukaryotic LSU rRNA". The stretch from base 203 to 356 matches the Rfam family "5.8S ribosomal RNA". The record is from RNAcentral. Lineage: Eukaryota; Fungi; Basidiomycota; Agaricomycetes; Boletales; Leucogastraceae.
AGGAUCAUUAAUGAAAUGCGAGGCGAGGUUGUAGCUGGUCCCCUCGGGGGCAAACGUGCACGCCUCGUCCCAUGUCUCUUCUCUCUCUCUCACCCCUGUGCACCUCUGCGUUGGGUCCCGUUGGUUCGGGGCCCUGCGUCCUUUAUAUCAACACACACGCGCAUGUACGAGAACGUCACAUCUUUUUUUAUUAUUAUAAUACAACUUUCAACAACGGAUCUCUUGGCUCUCGCAUCGAUGAAGAACGCAGCGAAAUGCGAUAAGUAAUGUGAAUUGCAGAAUUCAGUGAAUCAUCGAAUCUUUGAACGCACCUUGCGCCCCUUGGUAUUCCGAAGGGCACACCUGUUUGAGUAUCGUGAAAUCAUCAACCCUUUCUUUGUAGUGAAGGAAGGGAUUGGACUUUGGAGGUCUUUGCUGGUUCCCCCCUCCCUGGGAUCGGCUCCUCUUGAAUGCAUUUAGUGGAGCUUUGUUCCUGCUGUGUCAGCCUGCCCUUCGGUGUGAUAAUUCAUCCGCAUCGAUAGAGUAUUCGUGAACCAGAGGGACAUUCUCUGCUUCGAACGUGGACUUUUUUUUUAAGACUUUGAUCUCAAAUCAGGUGGGACUACCCGC